Molecule: non-coding RNA, 466 nt
Organism: Cricetulus griseus (Chinese hamster)
Lineage: Eukaryota; Metazoa; Chordata; Mammalia; Rodentia; Cricetidae
Source: RefSeq, a predicted model, not a curated record
CUUCGCUGUAAGCAAAGAAAUUUACAUUCUUUCCUGUGAUGUUUGCUGUUGUCACUGUUUUGUGAGACCCAGCUCCUGGGAGCCCUGUUACAUGGACUGGACUGGGAUUUGUCAUUGUUCUUCCUGGCGCUGGCCUGAGAUUUGUUGUCAACAAUUUUCCUUUUCCCAUGGACUUCACCAUAGCUGUUCGUUAUGAAACCCAGUCCACAGCUGACUGGGCUAUUUGGGUCAUAGUCAACAACUUUGGAGGAAACAGGCACUGUGUGCAUUAAGAAUUCACAAGGAUCAUCUCUGGCUUUUGCCUUACCAACUACUGCCAGGCUGGGACAUAGAGUCAAGUGAAUGUGAUUUAUUCAGAGCACAAAUCUGGAAGACUGAGGAGUGAAGCAGACGAAAGGACUGAGCAAGGAGCAGCUGGUGGAAGUAGAAGCAGACACCCACAGCUAAACACGGAACUGAACUGGAA